UACGUAGGGACCAAGCGUUGUUCGGAUUUACUGGGCGUAAAGGGCGCGUAGGCGGCUUAACAAGUCACUUGUGAAAUCUCCGGGCUUAACUCGGAACGGCCAAGUGAAACUGUCAAGCUAGAGUGCAGAAGGGGCAAUCGGAAUUCUUGGUGUAGCGGUGAAAUGCGUAGAUAUCAAGAGGAACACCUGAGGUGAAGACGGGUUGCUGGGCUGACACUGACGCUGAGUGCGCGAAAGCCAGGGGAGCAAACGGG
RNAcentral lists this ribosomal RNA (254 nucleotides) under uncultured bacterium. RNAcentral's name for it is "partial 16S ribosomal RNA". It matches the Rfam family "Bacterial small subunit ribosomal RNA", at positions 524 to 776 of the family's 1533-position model. The record is from RNAcentral.